This 798-nucleotide ribosomal RNA is filed under the name Triticum aestivum (bread wheat). RNAcentral's name for it is "partial small subunit ribosomal RNA". Lineage: Eukaryota; Viridiplantae; Streptophyta; Magnoliopsida; Poales; Poaceae. The record is from RNAcentral.
AUGUCAUGGCACACUGGAGCGUGCAAUAGCCGCAAUCCAACCAUCUUUGCUCUUGCCGAGCUGAGGGAUAGACUCCAGCGGAAGGUGUUUGUAUUUCCUGACACAACCACCGGAAGCUACAUUGUGGUGCUCAUCCACAAUCCACAAGCUCAGCUCUCAUUUGCAAAGGCAGGGGAUGAUAAGUGGACCUGGCUACCACCUCAUUAUCUUCACGACGACUGCAUUUACAAGGACGGCAUAUUGUAUGCAGUGAAUGUAAAAGGGGAACUCCACGCAUUCGAUCUUAGUGGCCCUGUGGUCACUAUGAAGACGAUUAUAAUGAUACCUGAGCAUUAUGAUUGUUGUAGCAGGUACGUCGUUCAAGCUCCAUGGGGCAGGCUGCUACUUGUUUUUAGAAUAGUUCAUGACCAUGAUUUAGAACCUCAGCCUGGUGCAUCUGAGUACUGGAAGACUACAAAAAUUAAAAUAUGCGAAAUUGAUUCUCUGUGGAAUAAAACUGAGGCAAUCAAUUGCUUGCGUGACCACGUGUUAUUUCUUGGUCAUAAUCUAUCGCUAUGCCUCAGUGCUGAUGAAUAUCCUGCUCUCAAGGCAAAUCGUUCCUAUUUUACCGACGAUAAUUUUCUAUGGACAGUGGGACAUAAGAACAAUCAUCGUGAUAUGGGAAUUAUUAGCUUGGAUGAUAACAGCAAGGAGGAACUUUUGUCUCCUCAGCUUUGGUCCAACUGUCCAGCUCCAAUGUGGAUUAUUCCUGAUCUUAGAAAGAUCAACGCGAUGGGCGCAAUGAGCCAACAACUGUGA